Molecule: ribosomal RNA, 256 nt
Filed under: Duganella sp. CY15W
Lineage: Bacteria; Pseudomonadati; Pseudomonadota; Betaproteobacteria; Burkholderiales; Oxalobacteraceae
Description: partial 23S ribosomal RNA
Rfam family: Bacterial large subunit ribosomal RNA
Source: RNAcentral
GUUUGUGAUGAUGCAAUCUACCCGCGGCUAGACGGAAAGACCCCAUGAACCUUUACUGUAGCUUUGCAUUGGACUUUGAAUCAAUCUGUGUAGGAUAGGUGGGAGGCUUUGAAGUAGGGACGCCAGUCUCUAUGGAGCCAUCCUUGAAAUACCACCCUGGUUCAUUUGAGGUUCUAACCUUGGUCCGUUAUCCGGAUCGGGGACAGUGCAUGGUAGGCAGUUUGACUGGGGCGGUCUCCUCCUAAAGUGUAACGGA